UAAGGAAUAUUGGUCAAUGGACGCAAGUCUGAACCAGCCAUGCCGCGUGAAGGAUUAAGGCCCUCUGGGUUGUAAACUUCUUUUAUAGGGGAAGAAAUGUGACGGUUCUCCGUCACUUGACGGUACCCUGGGAAUAAGCACCGGCUAACUCCGUGCCAGCAGCCGCGGUAAUACGGAGGGUGCAAGCGUUAUCCGGAUUCACUGGGUUUAAAGGGUGCGUAGGUGGGCAGAUAAGUCAGUGGUGAAAUCUUCCGGCUUAACUUGGAAACUGCCGUUGAUACUAUAGGUCUUGAAUUAUCUGGAGGUGAGCGGAAUAUGUCAUGUAGCGGUGAAAUGCUUAGAUAUGACAUAGAACACCAAUUGCGAAGGCAGCUUACUACAUAUAAAUUGACGCUGAGGCACGAAAGCGUGGGGAUCAAACA
This 422-nucleotide ribosomal RNA is filed under the name uncultured bacterium. RNAcentral describes it as "bacterial SSU rRNA". It matches the Rfam family "Bacterial small subunit ribosomal RNA", at positions 355 to 774 of the family's 1533-position model. The record is from RNAcentral.